GAUGGUAUAGUUCAGUGGUAGAGCUUGUGCUUUGUAUGCAUGAGGCUCUGGGUUCAGUCCCAGCACCAUCA
RNAcentral lists this transfer RNA (71 nucleotides) under Ictidomys tridecemlineatus (thirteen-lined ground squirrel). RNAcentral's name for it is "Spermophilus tridecemlineatus (thirteen-lined ground squirrel) tRNA". It matches the Rfam family "tRNA". From Rfam's summary of the family: Transfer RNA (tRNA) molecules are approximately 80 nucleotides in length. The record is from Rfam by way of RNAcentral. Lineage: Eukaryota; Metazoa; Chordata; Mammalia; Rodentia; Sciuridae.